CUUGUGCCAGCAGCCGCGGUAAUACAGAGGGUGCAAGCGUUCAUCGGAAUUACUGGGCGUAAAGCGCGCGUAGGUGGUUCGUUAAGUUGGAUGUGAAAUCCCCGGGCUCAACCUGGGAACUGCAUUCAAAACUGACGAGCUAGAGUAUGGUAGAGGGUGGUGGAAUUUCCUGUGUAGCGGUGAAAUGCGUAGAUAUAGGAAGGAACACCAGUGGCGAAGGCGACCACCUGGACUGAUACUGACACUGAGGUGCGAAAGCGUGGGGAGCAAAC
Molecule: ribosomal RNA, 272 nt
Filed under: uncultured Pseudomonadales bacterium
Lineage: Bacteria; Pseudomonadati; Pseudomonadota; Gammaproteobacteria; Pseudomonadales
Description: partial 16S ribosomal RNA
Rfam family: Bacterial small subunit ribosomal RNA
Source: RNAcentral